CCUACGGGAGGCAGCAGUGAGGAAUAUUGGUCAAUGGACGAGAGUCUGACCCAGCCAAGUAGCGUGAAGGAUGACUGCCCUAUGGGUUGUAAACUUCUUUUAUAUGGGAAUAAAAUGUUCCACGUGUGGGAUUUUGUAUGUACCAUAUGAAUAAGGAUCGGCUAACUCCGUGCCAGCAGCCGCGGUAAUACGGAGGAUCCGAGCGUUAUCCGGAUUUAUUGGGUUUAAAGGGAGCGUAGGUGGAUUGUUAAGUCAGUUGUGAAAGUUUGCGGCUCAACCGUAAAAUUGCAGUUGAAACUGGCAGUCUUGAGUAAAGGAGAGGUGGGCGGAAGGCGGGGGGGAGCGGUGAAAUGCUUAGAUAUCACGAAGAACUCCGAUGGCGAAGGCAGCUUACUGGACUGCAACUGACACUGAGGCGCGAAAGUGUGGGUAUCAAACAGGAUUAGAUACCCUUGUAGUC
RNAcentral lists this ribosomal RNA (460 nucleotides) under uncultured bacterium. RNAcentral describes it as "partial 16S ribosomal RNA". It matches the Rfam family "Bacterial small subunit ribosomal RNA", at positions 338 to 795 of the family's 1533-position model. The record is from RNAcentral.